ACUUAAAUUGAAGAGUUUGAUCAUGGCUCAGAUUGAACGCUGGCGGCAGGCCUAACACAUGCAAGUCGAGCGGUAGCACAGAGAGCUUGCUCUCGGGUGACGAGCGGCGGACGGGUGAGUAAUGUCUGGGAAACUGCCUGAUGGAGGGGGAUAACUACUGGAAACGGUAGCUAAUACCGCAUAAUGUCGCAAGACCAAAGUGGGGGACCUUCGGGCCUCAUGCCAUCAGAUGUGCCCAGAUGGGAUUAGCUAGUAGGUGGGGUAACGGCUCACCUAGGCGACG
Molecule: ribosomal RNA, 283 nt
Filed under: Klebsiella pneumoniae
Lineage: Bacteria; Pseudomonadati; Pseudomonadota; Gammaproteobacteria; Enterobacterales; Enterobacteriaceae
Description: partial 16S ribosomal RNA
Rfam family: Bacterial small subunit ribosomal RNA
Source: RNAcentral